UAUGUAAAGUUUACGACAGCAUUUUGCAAGUUGGAAAACAGUUGAAAGACCAUUUGUGAACAGGGGAAGGAUUUUCCCUCAACACCGCUUGAACAACUUUGGAAUCUGUAAACUCUAAUAAUAUUAAUUAUUAUUUGGAAGGAGAGAAUUUUAAAUGGAACAAAAAUGGGAUUGAUAGCAAGUUCAUGGACACACUGAGAAUCGAACCCAGACGGAGAAUUUACCUCUACUUUCCGAUGGUUUCCUGUAACAGACACGAAACCGCGGAUCUAAAGACGAGUUAAAACUAUGAAGUUGUGAUGUUCAUUCAUGAAGUAAAAUGUUUCCGACGGGAUUUCCUAACUGUUACUUGGACUCCGUUGCCCGAGAAGUCCAACACAUUGACCGAAUAUGUCAUUGGACUGCAGCCAUGCUGAGGAUAUCACCUUGGAAGUGUUUAACUGAAUCAGCCCCAGUACUUAUUCUACUGGUUUCUUUUGCCAGUUACAGGGAUGUAUACAAACCAAAACCAACUGUCAAGUAGUGGUGGGGGAACAAACUCACCAAGACACAUACCUAUAUAUGAUGGGUUUCCAUCUACUAAAGAGAGAAGUAAUUUGAAUGAGUUAACAGAACCUACAUAACUGGACAUUUCCCAGACUGCUUUCUACUGAAGAUGGGCCUUUGUGCCCGAAAUAUAAAGGUUUUGUAAAAUUUUCCAUACUGUCAGAAACUAUUUUCUUUUACCUUUGGUAUUAUAAUGCUUCAAGCAAACUACUAUGCUCUUAUUAACUUCUAAGUCAUUGGUUGGUCCAGGGCUACAUCAGAAGACUAUUGGCCAAGGUGCUGCGUAGCUGGGCCAAACCUGAAACCAUGUUAGUGUAGAGUAAGCUUAACCACACGGCCAUAUCUGUACCUUUGUGUCCAUGAUGUCAGUAGCUUUGAUUUUUUAUAGUAUCAGCCACAAACCCUAAUUUUCCAACAUUUAUGGCCAUGCAUACAUAAAUGUUGCUUCACUACUACAUGUAGUAAUAUUUACUGAGUAAAUAUUUCCUUUGUGAGUGAAAUUGAGUACAUGGAAACUAUGUUAAACCUGUCAGAUGGACUGCAUCUGUUCAACACCUGCUAGUUGGAAGCUUACAGCAGUCUGCUCUGUUGUAAGCAUUUGG
Octopus sinensis (East Asian common octopus) is the source of this 1148-nucleotide long non-coding RNA. RefSeq lists it as uncharacterized. The record is from RefSeq and is a predicted model, not a curated record. The transcript has 2 exons. NCBI's taxonomy places the organism in Eukaryota, Metazoa, Mollusca, Cephalopoda, Octopoda, Octopodidae.